AGGACGAACGCUGGCGGCGUGCUUAACACAUGCAAGUCGAGCGGAAAGGCCCUUCGGGGUACUCGAGCGGCGAACGGGUGAGUAACACGUGAGCAACCUGCCCCUGGCUCUGGGAUAGCCUCCGGAAACGGGGAUUAAUACCGGACAUGACCACGGCCGACAUCUGCUGUGGUGGAAAGGAUUCCGGCUAAGGAUGGGCUCGCGGCCUAUCAGCUAGUUGGUGGAGUAACGGCCCACCAAGGCGACGACGGGUA
RNAcentral lists this ribosomal RNA (254 nucleotides) under uncultured bacterium. Its description in RNAcentral is "partial small subunit ribosomal RNA". It matches the Rfam family "Bacterial small subunit ribosomal RNA", at positions 26 to 285 of the family's 1533-position model. The record is from RNAcentral.